AGGCAGCUAGUUUAAUUAAAACAUUUGAUUUCGGCUCAAAAACUUGUGGUUCAACCCCAUAGCCGCUUA
RNAcentral lists this transfer RNA (69 nucleotides) under Pseudorhombus dupliciocellatus (ocellated flounder). RNAcentral's name for it is "tRNA-Arg". It matches the Rfam family "tRNA". From Rfam's summary of the family: Transfer RNA (tRNA) molecules are approximately 80 nucleotides in length. Their secondary structure includes four short double-helical elements and three loops (D, anti-codon, and T loops). Further hydrogen bonds mediate the characteristic L-shaped molecular structure. tRNAs have two regions of fundamental functional importance: the anti-codon, which is responsible for specific mRNA codon recognition, and the 3' end, to which the tRNAs corresponding amino acid is attached (by aminoacyl-tRNA synthetases). tRNAs cope with the degeneracy of the genetic code in two manners: having more than one tRNA (with a specific anti-codon) for a particular amino acid; and 'wobble' base-pairing, i.e. permitting non-standard base-pairing at the 3rd anti-codon position. The record is from RNAcentral. Lineage: Eukaryota; Metazoa; Chordata; Actinopteri; Pleuronectiformes; Paralichthyidae.